Xylariales sp. AK1849 is the source of this 104-nucleotide non-coding RNA. NCBI's taxonomy places the organism in Eukaryota, Fungi, Ascomycota, Sordariomycetes, Xylariales. The record is from the annotation of a GenBank genome assembly.
GGCACGAUGGCGGAGUGGUUAACGCGAUGCCCUGCUAAUUUCCUAUAGAUUAGCAUUGUUAGGCAUUUCCCUCGGGAGCGCAGGUUCGAAUCCUGCUCGUGUCG